This 301-nucleotide ribosomal RNA is filed under the name uncultured bacterium. Its description in RNAcentral is "partial 16S ribosomal RNA". It matches the Rfam family "Bacterial small subunit ribosomal RNA", at positions 509 to 807 of the family's 1533-position model. The record is from RNAcentral.
CAGUAGCCACGGUAAUACGAGGGGGGCAAGCGUUGUUCGGAAUUAUUGGGCGUAAAGGGUGCGUAGGCGGCUUGACAAGUCUUGUGUGAAAUCUAUGGGCUCAACCCAUAGUCUGCACGGGAAACUGUCGGGCUUGAGAAUGGGAGAGGUGAGUGGAAUUUCCGGUGUAGCGGUGAAAUGCGUAGAUAUCGGAAGGAACACCUGUGGCGAAAGCGGCUCACUGGACCAUAACUGACGCUGAUGCACGAAAGCUAGGGGAGCAAACAGGAUUAGAUACCCCCGUAGUCCCUGUCUCUUAUAC